This 3028-nucleotide ribosomal RNA is filed under the name Penaeus vannamei (Pacific white shrimp). RNAcentral's name for it is "eukaryotic LSU rRNA". The stretch from base 1027 to 2751 matches the Rfam family "Eukaryotic large subunit ribosomal RNA", at positions 1889 to 3399 of the family's 3401-position model. Lineage: Eukaryota; Metazoa; Arthropoda; Malacostraca; Decapoda; Penaeidae. The record is from RNAcentral.
CUCCCCCCGCGGGGAGGCGGAAACGGCGGCGGCGGCGGGGGCGGCGGCGGCGGACGACGACCACCGCUCUCUUGCCGACCUCGCCGGUCUCGCCCGCUUGCGGGCUUGGAGACCCCCUAACCGUGACGGUGUGUACUACGACCUCCCCUUCGCUCUCGGAGUAAGCGCCUCCUCUUCCUCCUCGGAAAACCGGCGUGGAAAAGAAUCUCCCCCUGCCUCCUCCCACCCUGCUUGUUGUGGUCGGGUCGGGUCGGUCGAGGGGUUUGACGAUUGGCUUCCACCGCCACGGCUUCCGGGAGAGCUUUGAGAAGAGAAAGAAAGAGCAAAAGAGAGUGCGCGGGCGCGCUGGCAGCCAGCCCCCCUUUGAAUCUCGAAUCUUAGAUCCGGUGGUCCGGAGGCCAGUGUGUGUGCUUGGCAACAGGCGUACUCGUUCGCCGACGCCGGCGGUAGCCCGGGGAAGAGCUUUCUUCUCUUUUUUAGGCUGCUGGAGGCCCCCAAGUUCGUUCACUUUGAGUGGGGGUCGUUGGCCGUAACAGCCAUACGUGAGAUUGUGAUCUGUUGGGAGCAAUCCUCGCUGUUGCGAUCGCCACCGGUUCGCCGUAGAGCACCGCGCAAAUAAGCGCUUGGUGUCCCGUGCGCUACCGCCGGCCCUUGAAAAGGUGGAUAGGGUAAACCCCCUCCGGUACCAACCAACCAACCAAACCAAGAGAGAGAAAAAACGAAAACGAUGAUGAUGAGGGGGGCGGCGGCAUUGUGCGCGGCUCCGCAAUGCGCUUCUCGCUUUGCUCGUCGAACGCUCCAGGCCGAAAGGAGAGCGAUCCCUGUGGGGUGGAGGUCGAGAGGACACGCGCCGCCGCCGCAGGGGCGGUGGUGGUUAUUUAAAACCUUUAAAACCUAGGCAGGUCUUCUAGCAGAGAACGGGCCCUCGGGAGUUUUCUUGAGAUGCCAACCCAGCACGCCCGCGUCGCGGGGGGGCAGUCCGUACCUUACUCCGCAGCAGGUCUCCAAGGUGUUCAGCCUCUGGUCGAUAGAUCAAUGUAGGUAAGGGAAGUCGGCAAGUUAGAUCCGUAACUUCGGGACAAGGAUUGGCUCUGAGGGUCGAGCCAUGCCGGGCCCACAGCCGGAAGCGGUCCCUCGUUCUCCUGGCGGGCGGCCGCCGGCGACGCGCGGAGGCGGCGGCGAGGAGGGGACCCAAGGGUGCCCGCGGCAUCGGCGGCCUGCGGCGCCGCGGCGCUUCGGCCCGCUCCGAGGGAGAAGGACUGGGCGAGGGGCGGCCUCUCACGAGGUCGCUCCGAGCUCGGACCCGACCCCGCAGGGGCGGUCGCCGGGCCCGCGGCCGCUCUGCGCUCCACCGCCGCCGGGUGCCCUCCCCUCCGCUCGAGCCGCGCAGCCCGAGCGCCCGCCGGCAGCAGGUGCCCCCGCCGUCGCGGGUCGGGACCAACGCGGAAGGCGCCUCUCGGGCAAAGGCCGGGGUUUCCCUCCCGUUUCCCCGGCCGCGGCUGGCAACAGACGGCCGUCUCAGAACUGGCACGGACCAGGGGAAUCCGACUGUUUAAUUAAAACAAAGCAAUGCGAUGGUCGGUGAUCGAUGCUGACGCAUUGUGAUUUCUGCCCAGUGCUCUGAAUGUCAAAGUGAAGAGAUUCAACCAAGCGCGGGUAAACGGCGGGAGUAACUAUGACUCUCUUAAGGUAGCCAAAUGCCUCGUCAUCUAAUUAGUGACGCGCAUGAAUGGAUUAACGAGAUUCCCACUGUCCCUACCUACUAUCUAGCGAACCCACAGGCAGGGGAACGGGCCUGCAGUUAACGGCGGGGAAAGAAGACCCUGUUGAGCUUGACUCUAGUUUGGCUUUGUAGAGAGGCACCUGAGGUGUAGCAUAAGUGGGAGGUCGCUCACGCGGCCGACGAUGAAAUACCACUACUCUGGUCGUCUCUCUACUUACUCGGUGAUGCGGGAGCGGGAGGCGUGACGGGGUUCGGGUCCCGCGAGCGGGGCGGAGCGCGGCUUCGGUCGUGUCUCUCCCCCUCCGGCCCGUCUUCCCUAUGCCUCUACCGAUUUUAGACUGCAAGUGACAUGAACAAGAGCGGCCGCCUCCCCGGGGGGCGAAAGGGGCUUCUCCGCGCGGGGGCGGUCGUCGCCGCCGCUCGCGGCGCGCGUCGCGACCCGUUCCGAGGACAGAGCCAGAUGGGGAGUUUGACUGGGGCGGUACAUCUGUCAAACGAUAACGCAGAUGUCCCAAGGUCAGCUCAGCGUGGACAGAAACCACGUGUAGAGCCCAAGGGCAAAUGCUGGCUUGAUCCGGACUCUCAGUACGAGCACGGACUGCGAAAGCACGGCCUAGCGAUCCUUUUGACUUUUACGAGUUUUAAGCGAGAGGUGUCAGAAAAGUUACCACAGGGAUAACUGGCUUGUGGCAGCCAAGCGUUCAUAGCGACGUUGCUUUUUGAUCCUUCGAUGUCGGCUCUUCCUAUCAUUGUGAAGCAGUUUUCACCAAGCGUAGGAUUGUUCACCCUCUAAUAGGGAACGUGAGCUGGGUUUAGACCGUCGCGAGACAGGUUAGUUUUACCCUACCGUUAACAACGUCGCCACGUCGCGACAGGAGCCCCGCCCAGUACGAGAGGAACGGUGGGUCCGGACCAAUGGUGCACCUCCUGCCCGACAGGCCACCAGGGGAGGGCAGCCACGUCCGGCAGGUUUUACCCCUGAAAGCCUCUCAAGGGGGAAACCGCGCUGAGCGUUAAGCGACGUGAUCGCGUGCGGCGCAACGGAUCGGCGAGUUUACUAGACUGAAGAGUUUAGACGCGAACCCGGCGAGAGCCAAGGGGGGCGGACUGUGCCCAUGCAAGGGGAAGUCACGCGGCUGUUUCUGACGGUCGAAGGGGGUCGAGGCCCAGUCGACGGCCCGCCAAACCGCUCCCUCCCAAGGGGGGCGGUGGGCCGCCGCCCCGGAGCUUGAAGGGGGGCCUCCCUUUGGACACCAGCUUCCUCGAUACAGAGCAAACCACGUCCGGUGUGCCGUACCGAACCGU